RNAcentral lists this ribosomal RNA (2022 nucleotides) under Triticum aestivum (bread wheat). Its description in RNAcentral is "partial small subunit ribosomal RNA". The record is from RNAcentral. Lineage: Eukaryota; Viridiplantae; Streptophyta; Magnoliopsida; Poales; Poaceae.
AUGACGACCAAGCUUACGGCAAUAGCCUUUUUCCUGCUCCUGCUCACCUUUGGUGAGUCCAGCGACAGGGUUGAACCUCCAUCUUCUCAAGAGAACGCUUUUGAUACGAGUGCUUAUGCGGUUCAUUGGGACCCAGAUCAUGCACCAUCUGAAGAAAAAGGUUUCGGUGAAAGUUCUUAUGCGGUACACUGGGAUCCAGAUCACACACCUUCAAAAGAAAACGGUUUUGGUGCGAGUGCUUAUGCGGUACAUUGGGAGCCAGAUCACUCACCUUCAAAAGAAAAUGGAUUCGGUGAAAGUGCUUAUGCGGUACAUUGGGAUCCAGAUCACUCACCUUCAAAAGAAAAUGGAUUCGGUGAAAGUGCUUAUGCGGUGCAUUGGGAUCCAGAUCACGCUCCUUCAAAAGAAAACGGGUUUGGUGAAAGUGCGUAUGCAGUACAUUGGGAUCCAGAUCAUGCCCCUUCAAAAGAAAACGGUUUCGGUGAGAGUGCUUAUGCGGUACAUUGGGAUCCAGAUCAUGCACCUUCAAAAAAUGGUUUCGAUGAGAGUGCUUAUGCAGUUCAUUGGGAUCCAGAUCAUGCACCUUCAAAAGGAAAUGGGUUUGCUGAAAGUUCUUAUGCGGUGCAUUGGGAUCCAGAUCGUGCCCCUUCAAAAGACAAGGGUUUUGGUGAAAGUGCUUAUGCAGUACAUUGGGAUCCAGAUCAUGCACCUUCUAAAGAAAAUGGUUUUGGUGCAAGUGCGUAUGCGGUACAUUGGGAUCCAGAUCACACACCUUCAAAAGAAAAUGGUUUUGGUGCAAGUGCUUAUGCGGUACAUUGGGAUCCAGAUCACUCACCUUCAAAAGAAAAUGGUUUUGGUGCAAGUGCUUAUGUGGUGCACUGGGAUCCAGAUCACUCACCUUCAAAAGAAAAUGGUUUUGAUGCAAGUUCUUAUGCGGUACAUUGGGAUUCAGAUCAUGCUCCUUCUCAACAAAACGGUUUUGGUGAGGGUGCUUAUGCAGUGCACUGGGAUCCAGAUCAUUCACCUUCAAAAGGAAAUGGGUUUGGUGAAAGUGCUUAUGCGGUUCAUUGGGAUCCAGAUCGUGCCCCUUCAAAAGACAAGGCUUUUGGUGAAAGUGCUUAUGCAGUACAUUGGGAUCCAGAUCAUGCCCCUUCAAAAGAAAAUGGUUUUGGUGCAAGUGCUUAUGCGGUACAUUGGGAUCCAGAUCACUCACCUUCAAAAGAAAAUGGUUUUGAUGCAAGUGCUUAUGCGGUACAUUGGGAUCCAGAUCACUCACCUUCAAAAAAUGGUUUUGGUGAUAGUACUUAUGCGGUACAUUGGGAUCCAGACCAUGAACAUUCAACUUCUGCUGUUCCUGAAGCACAAGCCAAACGCCACCAGAUAAAAGUUCAAACUGGCAUGUUGUUCUUGAAGAAGAAUCUGCGCGUUGGCACUGUACUGCCGCAAGGGACCAUGUUUGCACGAGGUGGUUCACCAAAGUCUGUCAAUUCUGUCAAUACUCCAUUGGAGUCAAAGUACUUGGCAACCAUCCUUUCACAUUACAAGAUACCUCACAGCUCGAUGAAGGCCAAGCAGGUUGCUGACACCCUUCAUUCAUGCGGCAAACCGGCUGACAAGGAGGAGCCUCACAUGUGCUUCUCAUCUCGCGAAGCAAUGGCCAGAUUCGCUACCAAAUCUUUGGGAGUCAGCGGCGCACGAGCAGCCAUUACAAGAAUUCAUGGGCAUGAAACCCCCAACACCAUGUAUGUUGUGGCACAGAUCGCCCAAUUCAGCAAUAAUUCGGUCCCAUGCCACCCUAUGGAUUUCCCCUAUGAGGUUUUUUGUUGCCAUAGGCCAAGAGAGGUGCAGUCUUUGACGGUGCAACUCAAGGGCUUGAAAGAUGGAACACCAGGUGUGACGGCAACAGCCAUGUGCCACAUGAACACAUCUGAUUGGGACCAGCAGUACUUUGAGCUGUUAGGCGGAGAGCGUGGUGAACCUAUUUGCCACUACAUGCCUACCAAUUACAUCAUGUUCUAUUAG